GUUCUUCUUUGACGUUGAGAUCUUUACCUUCCAGAGUUGUUCGAUUUGAAAGCCAUUCUAACAAGUCUAUAAAUAGUCUAGAGUGUUAAAAUGCGUGCAUUGGGGUUCCUGAGAGGAUCUUCUGAAGAAUUUAGGGAUUUUAGCUUCUUAAUAAGGAUCUAAUCGGAAGCCUCUCUGAUAGGAAAACACCUUUUAAGGGUUCCUCGAACGUAUAGUCGUAGUGGUGUAGAUGAAUGGAAAUUUCCGAUGGUCUUAAUAUGUGCAUCAAUCUCGUAGGCUCUACAUCGUACCCAACAAUCUACACACUCUCAGGAAUAGAAAGAUUACGCACUGGUUCUUUGGUGAGUUAAGCGGUCUAAUCUUUUCGUAAGGGUUGUAAGUGGAAAGCGCUUUGAAGAGAUCGUCCAAAACAACAAGCCUGACAGACUAGACUCAGUGAACAUCAAAAAUCAGUGCAUUUCUUCUGGAUAACGGAGGGAUAAAAAGAAAGGAUUCACAACUAGAAAAACUAUCUGGUUUAAAUUCAAAUGCUCUUCAUAUGUAUACAAGCUUUAGUGGAUCUUCAUCACUCUGUGGAGGGUUAAGGGCUCUUAGCUUUCAAAAGAGGUUUGACUUGGAAGCCAGUGGAACAAGCCAAAGAGUCCGGGGUGUAGAGUUGACGAAUAUCGAAAUCAUUUCUAUUGGAUGAUGGAAGGAUAAGAAAGAAAGGAUUAACGAGGGGAAGAGGAAACUAUAUGGUGUAAAUAUCUACUUUAGUGGCUCUACAUCAUUCCCACCAAUCUAUACUCUCUUGCAGACAAAGGGUUCCUAAUGGGUUCUUCUGGAAAGUGAAGCAAGCUUGGCUUUCUAAUAGGAUUCUACUUGAAAGCCUAUUUGAAGGGUUCCUCCACAGGAACCAGCCAAAGAGUCUUAAUGGGGAACCUUGUGGGUUCUUAUGGAGUGUUCCUAAGAGGGUUCAAGAGUAGAAUUCAAGCUUUCAUCCAACCAAAGAACCCCUUAAGGGAAUAUUUUUUCCCCCCAAAAAGGCUGUUUGGAAAGCACCUUUUAACGAACAAGCCAAAAGAGUCCAUUGAUAUUAAAAUCAGUGGAUUUCUAUUGGAUGAUGGAGAAAUAAAAUUGGUGCAAACGUAAUUUUGGAUGGUCUUCAUAUGUACACCAACUUUGCCGGCUCUAAAUCGUACCCACCAAUCUGUACACUCUUAGGGACAAAAGGGUUCCUCACCGGUCGUUCUGAAGAGUUAACAGCUUCCUAAAAUUAGUUUAAGAUUCCCUUCAAUUAAAGAAACCUCAAACGGAAAGCAUGUGGGAUAAGAUGUUGGGGGGUGGGGUGGGGAGGGGACUAAUGUGUAAAAAGCUCAGGAGUAAUUUGAGAAUUUAAUCAUUUCAGCUUGAAGGCUGAUGAGAUGCAAGUGUUCGGAAGAAGCAAGAUGAAUAACUGAGCUGAAACGGAGACGUUUUGGUUAGUUCUGGAUUGAAACUCGUUCCGAAAGAGAAAUGUGUACAAACUUGCAAGGAGGAAUGUAAAAAAAAAAAAAAAAAACGAAAAAAGAGAAAAGACUUUGGCUAAUUUUGACUUGCAUCCUUAAAAAAAUUAAAUAAAUAAAAACGAACAGAUAAGACACAGUUCUCUAAUUGAAGUAAAUCUGGAGAUAACACUUAGCGCUUCAUCAUCAGAAAGCGUUUCAUGUCCGAGUGUUUAACGCAUCCGGGCACGUUCCCAAUCCCGUCCUGCUAAGACCGUCGCGAAAUAGAGCACUCGAUGAGACUUAAGAGUGCUCCUCGACACGUCCACUUUAGUAGAACCCCGAACUAUCUUUAUAAACCUGCAGUUCAUCCUGUACUCUGCACCGACAUGGUCGCCGCGAUGUCUCGGCCUCGUCGGUUUCACACUGAUAUGAGCGCUGUAUGAAUACCUAUUGCUUUAUCAAGUACGCUGCACCGUCGCCAGCCUGGAUAACAUUUUCUAGCUCACUGAGAAUAGAAAUAGACUGGUGAGUCGACAAAGUGUCAGGGUUCGAAUAAAGAUGUUCAGGAGCCGUACUUUAUAUAUAACGGCAACACGAACGUGACAUUAUGGUAAAACCUGUAAACCGUCCGCAGUUUGAUGGAUUCAGUGGAAAUGAUUUGAACUAUAUGUCAUGACGGGCCACUGAAAAAGGACAGGGGUUUAACCUACACUAGUAGAGCUGCAAUUUCUUCUUCUUCUUCUUCUUCUCCUGUGAUGCGCUGGAUUCAGUCGGAGUGCUGCUGGGAGAAUGAAUGCUCAUGGUCGGUGAAGGUAGCAGCCCUGCAGCACUCCAUAAAAUCCCACCAUCAAAAUCUAACAAAGGCACGGGAAGGACUUUAUUAACCGCUGGGUCAAACGAAUCAUCCCCUUCCUGCUCAUAGAGACAGCACUCUAAAAAAAUAAAGCCGUUUUUGAAAGAUGGCAGGGGUUGAGAGGUGACCGGGGUGUUAAAAGCUGCACAGUGAAAGCUCAGCUCGACUAAGACAGGGGCGUUAACCGGCGGUCCGGAUAAGAAACCCGGCAAAGCAUUUCAGAAGAGCGAACUUAAUACUGGAGUAGAACGGAAAAAAAUAAAAUAAAUAAAUAAAUAACGUGAUAAAAACUAGUGACUGGUUUUCUAAACACGUCCCAAACUCAGGAUCUCUAUCGGACCCUGUUUUGCAGUUUUUAGCCAAUCACAUGCAUUUCUGUCAGUUAUUGUGCUUCAGGUAGCGACUAGGUAUCAGACCAGAGACUAGCUACGGGGAUAGAUAUUAUAUCAGUAAGGGAAGACUUUUUUUUUUACAGAAUUUUCGUUGUAUUUACCCUCUCUGGUCUGAUUAGUGAGACAAAAAAAAAAACCAAAACAAGCAAAACUGAAUUUUUAAAGGUGAAGACACAAUGAAGUAUACGUUUAUUUUCAUGUAUGUCAUCUGUUCAGAGUCCCGGGCACUAGUUAAAAGCGUUAACGUGAAACUAGGAAACAAAACAAGCACUUCCCGUUGUUUUAUUUAUAGCCACGCGAUAAAAGCUUUUGCUGAAGAAGUAAAAACAACAACAACAACAACAACAACAACAACAACAAAAAAAAAACCCUGUUGUCAUCAUUUCUGUUCAUGGUGUCAGUUCUUCGUACGUCCCUUCAUACGCGACUAAUCUUACCUAACUUGCUAACGUGAGUUUCUGUUUUAUUUAUUUAUUUAUUUUCUGGAAGAUGCGAUAAGUAUAGCGUGGAAGCCGCAAACGCCACAAUGAGACGAUGGACAUAACGCGUCAUUAUGACAUACUGCAGGUACGAAACACAGCUAAGGCUUUCAUUUCCUAACGGGUAAACUCCCGUUCAAGUGCCGAACCGCUUCCCGCGUGGGAGCGGUUCGAAAACGACUACACGUCAUGUCCUUUUACGAAGCCUCAGAUUCGGCGUGUAGAGGGCGUAGAGUCGUAUUCCUCUCCAGUCGGGUCUCGGAUCGAAGACGGGAAAGUGGUAAACCGCGUGAUGGAUUGAACGGGAAAUAAUCCUUGGUUAUCCGUGUGGAAGUGUAGUUAUCAAGUCAUUCGAUGUUGUAAAUUCGCAGCACUUGUUAUUUACAUCCUGGUUUUAGUUUUAUUUAUUUUUUUUUAAAAAAGCUGUAAGUUUUUUCAUUUCUAUAAUUCUGCAUGCAUGAGUAAUUCCUGACCGGUGUUUUCUUUUAACUCGAGAUCCACUUAGGCAACGUUAAUGAAGUCUGCAUCGAUCUCCUACUCUCUGAAUAUUUAUGGAAAAAGAGUUUGUGCCAAAAUUCAUGAUAUAUUUACGAUGGAUAAAUCUGGAGUUGUC
This is a long non-coding RNA of Ictalurus punctatus (channel catfish), 3803 nucleotides long. NCBI's taxonomy places the organism in Eukaryota, Metazoa, Chordata, Actinopteri, Siluriformes, Ictaluridae. The record is from Ensembl.